CGACUCUUGGCAACGGAUAUCUCGGCUCACGCAUCGAUGAAGAACGUAGCAAAAUGCGAUACUUGGUGUGAAUUGCAGAAUCCCGUGAACCAUCGAGUUUUUGAACGCAAGUUGCGCCCGAAGCCAUUCGGUUGAGGGCACGUCUGCCUGGGCGUCACG
This 159-nucleotide ribosomal RNA is filed under the name Symphyotrichum boreale. RNAcentral's name for it is "5.8S ribosomal RNA". It matches the Rfam family "5.8S ribosomal RNA". From Rfam's summary of the family: 5.8S ribosomal RNA (5.8S rRNA) is a component of the large subunit of the eukaryotic ribosome. The record is from RNAcentral. Lineage: Eukaryota; Viridiplantae; Streptophyta; Magnoliopsida; Asterales; Asteraceae. RNAcentral also lists the same sequence under 1 other name.